RNAcentral lists this unclassified non-coding RNA (329 nucleotides) under soil metagenome. Its description in RNAcentral is "partial contains 5.8S ribosomal RNA, internal transcribed spacer 2, and large subunit ribosomal RNA". The stretch from base 1 to 120 matches the Rfam family "5.8S ribosomal RNA", at positions 35 to 154 of the family's 154-position model. The record is from RNAcentral.
GAUGAAGAACGUAGUGAAAUGCGAUAAUUAAUGUGAAUUGCAGAAUUCAGUGAAUCAUCGAAUCUUUGAACGCACAUUGCGCCCCCUGGUAUUCCGGGGGGCAUGCCUGUUCGAGCGUCAUUACAACCCUCAAGCUCUGCUUGGUAUUGGGCCCCGCCAGUUCUGGCGGGCCCUAAAGUCAGUGGCGGUGCCUUCCGGCUCCGAGCGUAGUAAUUCUUCUCGCUCUGGAGACCCGGUUGUGUGCUUGCCAACAACCCCCAAUUUUUUAAGGUUGACCUCGGAUCAGGUAGGGAUACCCGCUGAACUUAAGCAUAUCAAUAAGCGGAGGA